Molecule: ribosomal RNA, 451 nt
Filed under: uncultured soil bacterium
Lineage: Bacteria
Description: partial 16S ribosomal RNA
Source: RNAcentral
GGAAUUCGAUUCGGUGUGACAAGGCCCGGGAACGUAUUCACCGCGGCGUGUUGAUCCGCGAUUACUAGCGAUUCCGACUUCAAGCAGGCGAGUUGCAGCCUGCUAUCCGAACUGAGACCGACUUUCUCCGAUUAGCUCCACCUUGCGGCUUUGCGACGGUUUGUAUCGGCCAUUGUAGCACGUGUGUAGCCCCAGACAUAAAGGCCAUGCUGACUUGACGUCAUCCCCACCUUCCUCCGGUUUAUCACCGGCAGUCUUUGCAGAGUGCCCAGCAUUACCUGAUGGCAACAGCAAACAAGGGUUGCGCUCGUUGCGGGACUUAACCCAACAUCUCACGACACGAGCUGACGACAGCCAUGCAGCACCUCUACGAGUGUCCUUGCGGAAGCCCCCUUUCGGGAGUGGUCACUCGCAGUUCAAGCCUGGGUAAGGUUCUUCGCGUUAAUCACUA